CACGUAGGGUGCGAGCGUUGUCCGGAAUUAUUGGGCGUAAAGAGCUUGUAGGCGGUCUGUCGCGUCUGCUGUGAAAAUCCGGGGCUCAACCCCGGACCUGCAGUGGGUACGGGCAGACUAGAGUGUGGUAGGGGAGACUGGAAUUCCUGGUGUAGCGGUGAAAUGCGCAGAUAUCAGGAGGAACACCGAUGGCGAAGGCAGGUCUCUGGGCCAUAACUGACGCUGAGAAGCGAAAGCAUGGGGAGCGAACAGG
RNAcentral lists this ribosomal RNA (253 nucleotides) under uncultured bacterium. RNAcentral's name for it is "partial 16S ribosomal RNA". It matches the Rfam family "Bacterial small subunit ribosomal RNA", at positions 524 to 776 of the family's 1533-position model. The record is from RNAcentral.